Molecule: ribosomal RNA, 305 nt
Filed under: uncultured bacterium
Lineage: Bacteria
Description: bacterial SSU rRNA
Rfam family: Bacterial small subunit ribosomal RNA
Source: RNAcentral
CCUACGGGGGGCAGCAGUGAGGAAUAUUGGUCAAUGGACGCAAGUCUGAACCAGCCAAGUAGCGUGCAGGAUGACGGCCCUCCGGGUUGUAAACUGCUUUUAGUUGGGAAUAAAAGGGGGCUCGUGAGCCCCGUAUUGUAUGUACCAUCAGAAAAAGGACCGGCUAAUUCCGUGCCAGCAGCCGCGGUAAUACGGAAGGUCCGGGCGUUAUCCGGAUUUAUUGGGUUUAAAGGGAGCGUAGAUGGGUUGUUAAGUCAGUUGUGAAAGUUUGCGGCUCAACCGUAAAAUUGCAAUUGAUACUGGCA